This 108-nucleotide small nuclear RNA is filed under the name Callithrix jacchus (white-tufted-ear marmoset). Lineage: Eukaryota; Metazoa; Chordata; Mammalia; Primates; Cebidae. The record is from RNAcentral.
AUGCUCGCUUUUGCAGCACAUAUACUAAAAAUUGGAAUGAUACAAAGAAGAUUAGCAUGGCCCCUGUGCAAGGAUGACACACAAAUUCAUGAAGCAUUCCAUAUUUUU